GAUGAACGCUGGCGGCGUGCUUAACACAUGCAAGUCGAGCGAGUGAGUUCUUCGGAACGAUCUAGCGGCGGACGGGUGAGUAACACGUGGGCAACCUGCCUCAUAGAGGGGAAUAGCCUCCCGAAAGGGAGAUUAAUACCGCAUAAAAUUAUCGAGUGGCAUCACAUGAUAAUCAAAGGAGUAAUCCGCUAUGAGAUGGGCCCGCGGCGCAUUAGCUAGUUGGUGAGGUAACGGCCUACCAAGGCGACGAUGCGUAGCCGACCUGAGAGGGUGAUCGGCCACAUUGGGACUGAGACACGGCCCAGACUCCUACGGGAGGCAGCAGUGGGGAAUAUUGCACAAUGGGGGAAACCCUGAUGCAGCAACGCCGCGUGAGUGAUGAAGGUCUUCGGAUUGUAAAGCUCUGUCUUUGGGGACGAUAAUGACGGUACCCAAGGAGGAAGCCACGGCUAACUACGUGCCAGCAGCCGCAGUAA
Molecule: ribosomal RNA, 476 nt
Filed under: uncultured bacterium
Lineage: Bacteria
Description: partial 16S ribosomal RNA
Rfam family: Bacterial small subunit ribosomal RNA
Source: RNAcentral